Long non-coding RNA from Nyctereutes procyonoides (raccoon dog), 1651 nucleotides. RefSeq lists it as uncharacterized. Lineage: Eukaryota; Metazoa; Chordata; Mammalia; Carnivora; Canidae. The transcript has 2 exons. The record is from RefSeq and is a predicted model, not a curated record.
GCCACCCGAGCCGCAGGUGAGCCACCGCGCGGGGCCCCGAGUGGCCGGGCCCGUAAGUGUCUGCUCCCCAAGCGCGGAGAUGCCCGCCCCUGCGCCUGGACGCGGGCCGCCCGUCUCCUCAGCGCCGCGGGGCUUGAGGAGGAGCGAGCGCCACCUGCGGGGCCGGGGCUCUCGCGGGCGGAGACGCCCUCCUGAGGGAUCGGAACCGUGACGCCGCGUGGCCCGAGCCGGGGGCGAAGACGUCGCCGUGAGCUCCUGAGGGCUCGGGUGCCUCGCCAGGGUCUGGGGAGAGGAAGGACGGAUGGCAGGAGCCCCGGGAAACCGUGGCGGGGCUGUGAGUCCCCUGUUGCCGCUUCCUGGCGUCGCCAGAUUUCCAGUACAAUGUUGAACACCAGUGGCGAGAGCGGACAUCCUUGUCAUGUUCCUGUGACCUUAUGGGAGAAGCUCUGUUUUUCUCUGUUAAGGAUGAUAUUUGCUGUUAGUUUUUUGUAUACGGCUUUUAUGAUACUGAGAUAUGUUCCCUCUAUCCCUACACAAUGGAGAGUUUUUAACAAGAAAGGAUGCUGUAUUUUGUCAAAUGCUUCUUCUGCAUCUACUGAGAGAAUCAUACAGUUCUUGUUCUUUAUUUUAUUGAUGUGGUGUUAUCACACUGAUUGAUUUGUGAACGUUGAACUACCAUUGCACUUCAGGAAUAAAUCCCACCUGGUCAUACUGAAUAAUCCUUUUUUUUUUUUCUUAAAGAUUUUAUUUAUUUAUUCAUAAGAGAGACUUAGAAGCAGUGAGAUAGGCAGAGGGAGAAACAGGCUGCCUGGGAGAACCCUGAUAUGGGACUCAAUCCCAGGACCCUGGGAUCAUGACCUGAGCUGCAGGUAGACACUCAACCACUGAGCCACCCAGGCAUCCCAAAUAAUCCUUUUAAUGUACUGUUGGAAAAAUAAUAAUAAUAAUAAUAUACUGUUGGACCCUAUUAGCUGAUACCAGGGUGAGAAUUUUUGCAUCCAUGUUCACCAGGGAUAUUGGUCUGUUAUUCUCCUUUUCAGUGGGGUCCUUGUCUUGUUUUGGGAUUAAAAUAAUGCUGGCCUCACAGAAUGAGUUUGGAGGUUUUCGUUCCAUUUCUAUUUUUUGAAAGAGUUUCAGAAGAACAGCUAUUAAAUUUUUCUUUAAAUGUUUGAUAGAAUUCUGCUGGGAGACCAUCCAGCCCUGGACUCUUACUUGUUGGGAGAUUUCUGAUUACUACUUCAAUUUCUUUGCUGGUUAUGAGUAUGUUCAGAUUUUCUAUUUCUUCCUGAUUCAGUUUUGGUAGUUUUUAUGUUUCUUAGGAAUGCAUUCAUUUUUUCCAGAUUGCCUACUUUGUUAGCAUACUAUAUGCCAACUUGCUCAUAAUAUUCUCUGAUAAUUGUAUUUCUUAGGUGUUGGUUAUGAUCUCUCCUCUUUCAUUUAUGAUUUUAUUUGAGUCCUUUUUCUUUUCUUUUUGGUAAGUCUGGCUAGCGGUUUAUCAAUCUUAUUCUUUCAUGGAACCAGGUCCUAGUUUUGUUGAUCUGUUCUACUGUUCUUUUGGUUUCUAUUUCUAUUGAUUUCUGCUCUAAUCUUUAUUAUUUCUCUUCUGUUGGAUUUAGGCUUUAUUUGCUGUUCUUUUUUAAGGUUUUUUUUU